Molecule: long non-coding RNA, 977 nt
Filed under: Heterocephalus glaber (naked mole-rat)
Lineage: Eukaryota; Metazoa; Chordata; Mammalia; Rodentia; Bathyergidae
Description: lncRNA (ENSHGLG00100043619.1)
Source: RNAcentral
UGGAAGAAGUAAAUGUGGCAGUCUGUGAAACACAACCUGGCCCAGAUACCCUACCUUUAGGCCCCACCAGUUAGAUGUCUGCAGUCCUGCUUCCUUGUAGCUUGGCAAGGACGUGAAACUAAAGGAUAACCAACUCUUUUAGAACAUGCAAACAUCUCUAUUUGUUAGUGGUUUUAAACAGCAGAUCUCUCUUGUUCUUCCCUUGGGGCUGACAGGACACAGAUGUCAGCUUCAGCUAACAAUCACUACAGCCAAAAGACUUGUGGCUAAUGGCGAACCAUCUGGUAUUGCUGUUUUGAGAAGUGAAACAGUAUUCUCAGAAGUGAAGCAAGUUACAGAAGCAGAAUGAAGCAGGCAGUUAUUUUAUAUUAUUUUAUAUUUUCCUUAACAAAACAAGCUGAAGAAUUUGGAAAAUAGGAACUAAACACUGAGGGGUGGUAACACCAGAACUUCAAUCAGGGUGAGAGAGGAAUAGGAGGGUAGAUAGGAUAUCAUGAUUUCAAUUGAAGGAACAAUUGGAGAAGUUGUUUCUCCUUUCCCUUGUCUCAGUUCCCUUGCAUCCUGUAGCAGACCUCCCUGCCCAGUACUAGCGGGCUAUGAAUGGCACAUGCUUCUUGCUUUCCUAAUUCUGCUAUGCUGUUUUAUAUCAGGAGUUAGACCAAAGCCUUGCAUGACUCAAACAGGCGUGCCAGCUAACAAAGUUGGUCUAGUAUUGCUCCUUUGCUAAUGGCUGUCAAUGAGGCCUAAAUCCUGGUCUGUGAAGUGGCAGGGCCCUGCUAAAUUUCAUGCCACUGAGAUCAGCAUGACCCCAAUUAAAAUCCUUUCCCCUGAAUAUUGCUUCUUAGUGACCUUGUGGGUUGCUUGCUAAUUGUGCCUGGUCCCAGUAUUGGUUUCUUCUACCCUAGCAAGAUAAGCAGUGCCUACUCCAUAACAUCCCUGCCUGGUGCCAUCACACCAGGUGUUUGGCAAUAAUUCAC